GGGUAACCUGCCCAAGAGAUCGGGAUAACACCUGGAAACAGAUGCUAAUACCGGAUAACAAUAGAUGAUGCCUAUCAACUGUUUAAAAGAUGGUUCUGCUAUCACUCUUGGAUGGACCUGCGGUGCAUUAGCUAGUUGGUAGGGUAACGGCCUACCAAGGCGAUGAUGCAUAGCCGAGUUGAGAGACUGAUCGGCCACAUUGGGACUGAGACACGGCCCAAACUCCUACGGAGGCAGCAGUG
This 242-nucleotide ribosomal RNA is filed under the name uncultured Lactobacillus sp. RNAcentral describes it as "partial 16S ribosomal RNA". It matches the Rfam family "Bacterial small subunit ribosomal RNA", at positions 119 to 356 of the family's 1533-position model. Lineage: Bacteria; Bacillati; Bacillota; Bacilli; Lactobacillales; Lactobacillaceae. The record is from RNAcentral.